This 774-nucleotide ribosomal RNA is filed under the name uncultured Neocallimastigales. RNAcentral describes it as "partial large subunit ribosomal RNA". It matches the Rfam family "Eukaryotic large subunit ribosomal RNA", at positions 24 to 635 of the family's 3401-position model. Lineage: Eukaryota; Fungi; Neocallimastigomycota; Neocallimastigomycetes; Neocallimastigales. The record is from RNAcentral.
UAUGUGAUCGUCUCUCGCAUAUCAAUAAGCGGAGGAAAAGAAACUAACAAGGAUUCCCCUAGUAACGGCGAGUGAAGCGGGAAGAGCUCAAAUUUGAAAUCUUAAAGGGUUUCCCUUUACGAAUUGUAGUUUAAAGAAGUGUUUUCUGUUGAGGUUUUGGUAAAAGUUCUUUGGAAUAGGACAUCAUAGAGGGUGAGAAUCCCGUAUUUGACCUUUACUUUCAACUUUGUGAUACACUUUCAAAGAGUCGGAUUGUUUGGGAAUGCAGUCCAAAAUGGGUGGUAAAUUUCAUCUAAAGCUAAAUAUUGGCGAGAGACCGAUAGCGAACAAGUACCGUGAGGGAAAGAUGAAAAGAACUUUGAAAAGAGAGUUAAACAGUACGUGAAAUUGUCAAAAGGGAAGCGUUUGACACCAGUGUUGUUUUUCUGAAAAUCAAUUAAAGAACUGUUUAUGCUAAGCUGUUUAGACUUUAUCAGCUAUCUGUUUAGUUUUGAGCUUCUCUUUAAUGCACUUUUCAGUUAACAAGUCAACAUCAAUUUCUUUUGCUGUAAAAAAGCUUGAGGAAGGUGGCUUGAGAUUCGUCUUAAGUGUUUAUAGCCUCUUGCCUAUGCAGUCGGAGAGAUUGAGGUCUGCAGCGUAGAUCCUUCGGGGCUAAAUGCAUUUGUGCUAAGUUAUAGCAUUUUAUAGACAACUUGUUGACUAUGAUUUGUCUUGUAGCUUACUCGCUUAUGUUAUUUUACCUACGCUUAGGAUGUUGAUCUACAGAGCGAGAGU